UAGACCCUGCGCUGUUGGUGAUCGGUAAAGUAUUAAGCCAACUCUUUACGCAAGGGCUGCCUUGCCGCUGGAUCCGCGGAAGCCCUCCGGCUUGACAACGUCCAGCUUGGGUUCAGCCCACCUAAUGGACAUUAGGUUUAAUCGUCUUACCGACACGGCAGCGCGGGGCUUUU
This 173-nucleotide non-coding RNA is filed under the name Desulfobulbus oralis. RNAcentral describes it as "6S / SsrS RNA". It matches the Rfam family "6S / SsrS RNA". From Rfam's summary of the family: E. coli 6S RNA was the first non coding RNA to be sequenced, but its function was unknown until recently. The record is from Rfam by way of RNAcentral. Lineage: Bacteria; Pseudomonadati; Thermodesulfobacteriota; Desulfobulbia; Desulfobulbales; Desulfobulbaceae.